UAUAAAGUUUACAAUAUAAAUACUAAAUAAAAUGAAAUUUUUCAAAAAAUUUGAUUUAGCUGAACUAGCAUUCCCUCAGUUCAUCAUUCUUAAAUAUCUCAAAAAUUGUCUAGCAAUCAUAAAAUUUACAACACAGAUCAGCACUAAUAUGGCAAUAAUGGAUAGGAUAAUUGUAUACGUUGGCUGCAUAGUUAAGCGUUCGUUUGCCAUCUGGAAGAUCCUGGUUUCUAUCUCCUAAGUUUUUUUUCAGGAAAGUCUGGAUUUGACUCGUUGAACUUCUUCCUUCAUAUGACUGAUGAUCGCAUCAGGAGUGUAAGUGGCCUGUGAUGAUUACUGCUGUUCCCUGCAUUUUAGGAAUCAACUGUUGGAAAGCGUCGAAAAUCGUGCAGAAAAAAAUUAUAACAACUGUAUAGCUGUAUUGUAUUUUAAGAGGACUAGUGAUAAAUUAACAAAAUUUUUGAUCAAUUUCAUAAUUUGCAGUGUAAGUUAUACUGUAGAAUUGCAAUAUUUAGUAUAAUACUCUGUUCAUUCAUAAAUUUUUACAAUUACAUUACAUUAUUUGCCGUUUGAAAUAUAGUGC
Molecule: long non-coding RNA, 580 nt
Filed under: Androctonus crassicauda
Lineage: Eukaryota; Metazoa; Arthropoda; Arachnida; Scorpiones; Buthidae
Source: RNAcentral